This 756-nucleotide ribosomal RNA is filed under the name uncultured bacterium. Its description in RNAcentral is "bacterial SSU rRNA". It matches the Rfam family "Bacterial small subunit ribosomal RNA", at positions 8 to 796 of the family's 1533-position model. The record is from RNAcentral.
AGAGUUUGAUCAUGGCUCAGAAUCAACGCUGGCGGCGCGCCUAACACAUGCAAGUCGAACGAGAAAGUGGAGCAAUCCAUGAGUAAAGUGGCGUACGGGUGAGUAACACGUGGGUAAUCUACCUCUUAGUGUGGAAUAACCCUGGGAAACCGGGGCUAAUACCGCAUAAGCUCGAGAGAGGAAAGCAGCAAUGCGCUGAGAGAGGAGCCCGCGGCCGAUUAGCUAGUUGGCAGGGUAAAAGCCUACCAAGGCAAAGAUCGGUAGCCGGCCUGAGAGGGCACACGGCCACACUGGCACUGAAACACGGGCCAGACUCCUACGGGAGGCAGCAGUGGGGAAUCUUGCACAAUGGGGGAAACCCUGAUGCAGCGACGCCGCGUGAGCGAUGAAGCCCUUCGGGGUGUAAAGCUCUUUCGGCAGGGAAGAUUAUGACGGUACCUGCAGAAGCAGCUGCGGCUAACUACGUGCCAGCAGCCGCGGUAAUACGUAGGCAGCAAGCGUUGUUCGGAGUUACUGGGCGUAAAGGGUGUGUAGGCGGUUGUUUAAGUUUGGUGUGAAAUCUCCCGGCUCAACUGGGAGGAUGCGCCGAAUACUGAAUGACUCGAGUGCGGGAGAGGAAAGUGGAAUUCCUGGUGUAGCGGUGAAAUGCGUAGAUAUCAGGAGGAACACCGGUGGUGUAGACGGCUUUCUGGACCGUAACUGACGCUGAAACACGAAAGCGUGGGUAGCAAACAGGAUUAGAUACCCCCGUAGUCC